Molecule: ribosomal RNA, 466 nt
Filed under: uncultured bacterium
Lineage: Bacteria
Description: bacterial SSU rRNA
Rfam family: Bacterial small subunit ribosomal RNA
Source: RNAcentral
CAAGCGGUGGAGCAUGUGGUUUAAUUCGAUGCAACGCGAAGAACCUUACCUGGUCUUGACAUCCACGGAAGUUUUCAGAGAUGAGAAUGUGCCUUCGGGAACCGUGAGACAGGUGCUGCAUGGCUGUCGUCAGCUCGUGUUGUGAAAUGUUGGGUUAAGUCCCGCAACGAGCGCAACCCUUAUCCUUUGUUGCCAGCGGUCCGGCCGGGAACUCAAAGGAGACUGCCAGUGAUAAACUGGAGGAAGGUGGGGAUGACGUCAAGUCAUCAUGGCCCUUACGACCAGGGCUACACACGUGCUACAAUGGCGCAUACAAAGAGAAGCGACCUCGCGAGAGCAAGCGGACCUCAUAAAGUGCGUCGUAGUCCGGAUUGGAGUCUGCAACUCGACUCCAUGAAGUCGGAAUCGCUAGUAAUCGUGGAUCAGAAUGCCACGGUGAAUACGUUCCCCGGGCCUUGUACACACC